RNAcentral lists this ribosomal RNA (497 nucleotides) under uncultured bacterium. RNAcentral describes it as "partial 16S ribosomal RNA". It matches the Rfam family "Bacterial small subunit ribosomal RNA", at positions 28 to 507 of the family's 1533-position model. The record is from RNAcentral.
GAUGAACGCUGGCGGCGUGCCUAAUACAUGCAAGUCGAGCGAACAGAUGAGGAGCUUGCUCCUCUGACGUUAGCGGCGGACGGGUGAGUAACACGUGGAUAACCUACCUAUAAGACUGGGAUAACUUCGGGAAACCGGAGCUAAUACCGGAUAAUAUAUUGAACCGCAUGGUUCAAUAGUGAAAGACGGUUUUGCUGUCACUUAUAGAUGGAUCCGCGCCGCAUUAGCUAGUUGGUAAGGUAACGGCUUACCAAGGCAACGAUGCGUAGCCGACCUGAGAGGGUGAUCGGCCACACUGGAACUGAGACACGGUCCAGACUCCUACGGGAGGCAGCAGUAGGGAAUCUUCCGCAAAGGGCGAAAGCCUGACGGAGCAACGCCGCGUGAGUGAUGAAGGUCUUCUGAUCGUAAAACUCUGUUAUUAGGGAAGAACAAAUGUGUAAGUAACUAUGCACGUCUUGACGGUACCUAAUCAGAAAGCCACGGCUAACUACGUG